GACGAACGCUGGCGGCGUGCUUAACACAUGCAAGUCGAACGGGAUUUAGUAGACAGAAGCCUCGGCUAAAGAUUACUAAUGAGAGUGGCGAACGGGUGAGUAACGCGUGAGCAACCUGCCUAUGACAGUGGGAUAGCCUCGGGAAACCGGGAUUAAUACCGCAUAACAUCGUAGAAACACAUGUUUUAACGGUCAAAGAUUUAUCGGUCAUAGAUGGGCUCGCGUCUGAUUAGCUAGUUGGUGAGAUAACAGCCCACCAAGGCGACGAUCAGUAGCCGGUCUGAGAGGAUGAACGGCCACAUUGGAACUGAGACACGGUCCAAACUCCUACGGGAGGCAGCAGUGGGGAAUAUUGCACAAUGGGGGAAACCCUGAUGCAGCGACGCCGCGUGAACGAAGAAGGUAUUCGUAUCGUAAAGUUCUGUCCUAUGGGAAGAUAAUGACAGUACCAUAGAAGAAAGCUCCGGCUAAAUACGUG
This 478-nucleotide ribosomal RNA is filed under the name uncultured bacterium. Its description in RNAcentral is "partial 16S ribosomal RNA". It matches the Rfam family "Bacterial small subunit ribosomal RNA", at positions 28 to 507 of the family's 1533-position model. The record is from RNAcentral.